This 68-nucleotide transfer RNA is filed under the name Marmota monax (woodchuck). RNAcentral describes it as "tRNA.Ser". Lineage: Eukaryota; Metazoa; Chordata; Mammalia; Rodentia; Sciuridae. The record is from RNAcentral.
GGAUUGUGGCUCAGUGGUAGAACGCUUGCCUAGAACAUACGAGGCACUGAGUUCAAUUCUCAGCACCA